Molecule: ribosomal RNA, 319 nt
Filed under: uncultured eukaryote
Lineage: Eukaryota
Description: partial 18S ribosomal RNA
Rfam family: Eukaryotic small subunit ribosomal RNA
Source: RNAcentral
CCCUUAGAUGUUCUGGGCAGCACGCGCGCUACAAUGGUCUUCGCAAACGGAUGCAUUCUCGAAGGAGAAUGCCAAUCUUGGAAUCUAUGCCUUGGUCGGGACAGUUGCUUGCAAUUUUUCGACUCGAACCAGGAAUUCCUUGUAAUCGUGAUUCAUCACAUCACGAUGAAUACGUCCCUGCCCUUUGUACACACCGCCCGUCGCUCCUACCGAUCGAAGAGUUAGGUGAAUUGUUUUGAUCGAUAAGAUUUGACUAUGGUCAACUCUCGUAGUGAAAUUCUGUGAAUCUGACUGUUUAGAGGAAGGAAAAGUCGUAACA